AUGGCUAUCCAUGUCAACCUCUCUUAACAAAAAAAAAAUAGAAAAGAAAUAAUAAAGUAAAUACAAGCCCUCAACUAACCUAGCACCAUGUCAUUUUCAAUUCUCAAAUAGGAUCCCACUUUCCUCUCUCUGCACACAGAAGAAAACCGUUUUUCAUCACCAAAUCCACAUCAUAACCCUUCUCUCUCACGAGAUGCUCAACCUUUCUCACAUAAAUAUAUCACAACUCAGUAUUCACCAUUUUUUUU
Molecule: long non-coding RNA, 248 nt
Filed under: Lathyrus oleraceus (garden pea)
Lineage: Eukaryota; Viridiplantae; Streptophyta; Magnoliopsida; Fabales; Fabaceae
Description: Pisum sativum (pea) long non-coding RNA (PSAT_LNC001209)
Source: RNAcentral